UACGGGGGGGGCAAGCGUUGUUCGGAAUUACUGGGCGUAAAGGGCUCGUAGGUGGCCAACUAAGUCAGACGUGAAAUCCCUCGGCUUAACCGGGGAACUGCGUCUGAUACUGGACGGCUUGAGUUUGGGAGAGGGACGCGGAAUUCCAGGUGCAGCGGUGAAAUGCGUAGAUAUUUGGAGGAACACCGGUGGCGAAGGCGGCGUCCUGGACCAACACUGACACUGAGGAGCGAAAGCCAGGGGAGCAAACGGG
RNAcentral lists this ribosomal RNA (253 nucleotides) under uncultured bacterium. Its description in RNAcentral is "partial 16S ribosomal RNA". It matches the Rfam family "Bacterial small subunit ribosomal RNA", at positions 524 to 776 of the family's 1533-position model. The record is from RNAcentral.